UACGUAUGGAGCAAGCGUUGUCCGGAAUCAUUGGGCGUAAAGCGCGCGUAGGUGGCUUCGUAAGUCCGUUGUGAAAGUCAAAGGCUCAACCUUUGAAAGCCGAUGGAUACUGUGAAGCUAGAGUACGGAAGAGGCGAGUGGAAUUCCUGGUGUAGCGGUGGAAUGCGCAGAUAUCAGGAGGAACACCAAUAGCGAAGGCAGCUCGCUGGGACGUUACUGACACUGAGGCGCGAAAGCGUGGGGAGCGAACAGG
RNAcentral lists this ribosomal RNA (253 nucleotides) under uncultured bacterium. RNAcentral describes it as "partial 16S ribosomal RNA". It matches the Rfam family "Bacterial small subunit ribosomal RNA", at positions 524 to 776 of the family's 1533-position model. The record is from RNAcentral.